AUUUUUGGAGUUGGGAGCAUCAGCAUUGUUUCUAUGCUUGCAUUUAAAUUGCAUAUUGAUAAGCCAUCGUUGCCAGGCAACCCGAGGUGGCGGGUCAUUGUUGUCAGGUAAAUCUCUGAUUUAGGAUCAGACGGUGUGCGGAGCUCGGAUUGUUUUUGCGCUGAUGUAAAUAUGUUUUAAUUUUUUGGGGUUUGUAAUAUGUUUCUUAACUAGCAUUACUUUUUGCUAAUCUCGUCAAUAACUGAUAAUUUUCUAACGUGAAACUACAAAAUCACU
Gossypium arboreum is the source of this 276-nucleotide long non-coding RNA. RefSeq lists it as uncharacterized. Lineage: Eukaryota; Viridiplantae; Streptophyta; Magnoliopsida; Malvales; Malvaceae. The transcript is spliced from 3 exons. The record is from RefSeq and is a predicted model, not a curated record.